Molecule: transfer RNA, 247 nt
Filed under: uncultured bacterium
Lineage: Bacteria
Description: 16S-23S ribosomal RNA intergenic spacer
Rfam family: tRNA (bases 84-156)
Source: RNAcentral
CUAAGGAAGUCAAAAGAUAAUCGAAAGAUAAUCAAGUAGACUUAAAAAAUAAGUUUUUUAACUUUACACUAUUAAUUAUAUAUGGGGGUGUAGCUCAGUUGGGAGAGCACCUGCCUUGCAAGCAGGGGGUCAGGAGUUCGAAUCUCCUCAUCUCCACCAUAAAACUUUAAAAGUUUUAAGAACCAUUACAACUUCAAAAGAUAUAUAACUUAAAUUUCUAGAAAAACAAUAAACUGGAAAAAACAAA